GGUUUUAUUUUCAAUGGUUUCUGAUCCAGUCUGUGCGUGUAACUGUGUCUAUAUUAGCAUCCAGGAGCACAAGCACGUCCGCUCUGCUUCGCUUUAAAGGUUUCAAGUAUCGGUUGCCAGUUUCUUUUUUUCCACAAUCUGUAGGUCACAUAAAAUAUUAACUUACUUAAGCACUAUCUUUCUAUUCCCCGCUUAAAACUUCGACUUCCUUUCCUAUUUUUCCUUCUCUCAGUUUGUUUUUUCAUCACAAUCUGCAGGUCACAUGAAAUAUUAACUUACUUUACCACUAUUUUUCUAUUCCCCGCUUAAAACUUCGACUUCCUUUCCUAUUUUCCCUUCUUCUCUCAGUUAUUUAAUAAAGACCGACAUUUGAGGAACGAUAAACCUUCACUCGACUUUCUUCCCUUUAUCGCUAUCUGUGUAUUCCCCGAGUCGCUGAUAACCUUGACUUCCUUCUCCUUCUGUCUCCUCUCUCAGUCACGUAAAACAUCGAUCGACUUCUCAGCAACUACAAAUAUUCGAUCUACUUCUUUCCCUCUAUCAAUACCUGUCAUUUCCCCGAGUCGCUAAUUACAAAACCUUGACUUCCUUCUCCUUCUGUCUCCUCUCUCAGUCAAGUAAAACAUCGAUCGACUUCUCAGCAACUACAAAUACUCAAUCUACUUCUUUCCCUCUAUCACGAUAUGUCUUUUCCCCGAGUCGCCAAUAACAAAACCUUGACUUCCUUCUCCCUCCCUCUCUUUUCUCGUGGUCUCAAAACAGACUUCUGAGAAAAAAUUAUCAGCCUUCAAAUUCCUUCUCCCUCCCUCUCUCCCUCUCCCUCACUCUCUCUCUCCCUCUCUCUCGCCCUGGGUCACUAAACUCUUCACUUCCUUCUCUCCCGCCGAGGUCAACGUUCGUAGCUGGAAAACGUUGUCGUGAGGAGGACAAACACGAGAAUCUUUAUCAGCACGAGACGGAUGGCAAGGAAAAAAAUACAGGUUGAUAAUAAAACGCCAGGGAUGAGAGAGAGAGAGAGAGAGAGAGAGAGAGAGAGAGAGAGAGAGAGAGAGAGAGAGAGAGAGAGAGAGAGAGA
Molecule: long non-coding RNA, 1075 nt
Organism: Eriocheir sinensis (Chinese mitten crab)
Lineage: Eukaryota; Metazoa; Arthropoda; Malacostraca; Decapoda; Varunidae
Exons: 2
Source: RefSeq, a predicted model, not a curated record